CGUUGUAGUUGCGUGAAAGGUACGAGUGAUUGUAGUCUGGUCAGCUGCCUUCACUAUAAUUUAAGUAACCAGGAUUUUCCACUUUGUGGAACCCUCAUACGUCGAAAUCGACGGAGUCCAUUAUUAUUAUUAUUAUUAUUAUUAAAGAGUUCCACUUUUGCAAUGUACAUACAAAUACAAGCGUAGAACACAAUAGCAAAUGCACGAUGGCGUAAAGUUGAUAUACUUUCAUUGAUACAUAUUGUACAAUUCGUAAUUGGCGGCAAUUUUACUUGAAGCUACUCUGUUAAAGGACACGUACUAGGUAAAUCGGCAUUGUUGAUAUCGUUUUGAAUUUGUAGUUUCAACUGAAUUGGAACAGUUUUCAUUUGUUUUGGCCACUCAUGAAAAUUCAGUUAAAUUUCUAAUUGCUUUAAAGCGUGCAUAUUAUCUAACACAAUUAUAGUGCACGUUACCCUCUGUAUCGUAAAGAAAAAAAGAUUGUGGAGUUUUUAAAAAUUGUUAAAAAUUAUACGUUUUGUUUAUAUAAGGAGCUGUUUCCGGAAUAAUUCAUGUUUUGUAUUAUUUAGGCGUUGUUUGUGGAAUAAUUUAUGUUUUGUCUCAUUUAGGCGUUGUUUGUGGAAUAAUAUAUGUUUUGUCUUGUUAAUAUAUUUAGCAAAAAAAAUUGUAAACAGUACACUGUCUCAUUUUGAACUGUAACCAUCUUGCUCAGUUUCAACAAUAUAUUUUAGAUUGCAAGGGAUCUUGUGCGUUUUCUUGGCAAAUAUCUUUCCAACUUUGGAGAAAUAGUUUGCCAUUGAUUAGCGGGAGCGCGAUUUCUGUAUCGCACUCACUGAGUGUUCUUUAGGACAACCAUCUAUUCGUGUAUUCUAAAAGCACACUCACAUUAUAUUUACAUUACAUCUUCCAUAUUUUACCUCUGAAUUCAUUCUUUCAUUCAUUCUUGUAGAUAUUCAAGGAGCAAAGCUCCCUUUUCUUAGAUUCGAUUCUCAACCGUCACGCUCGAAAAUUGUUAUCAAACAACAGACUUAAAGAUCUUGGCCAAUUUUCAGCUUACCUCGUUCAACCUACGGGCAUGGCUCAGUAAAGAAAGAGUGUAUAAAUGGUGAAGAAAUUAGGAAAAAAUAUCUGUGGGAAUUCAGCGUUAGAGUAAAGCCUCUAUGGUCGAUAUUAAAUUCAAAAUACCUUCAGAAUAAUACUAUCGGUUAUGAAUUAUGAGUUUCUAAAUACAGAGCAUUGAUAUUCAUUUAUAUGAUAUUUUCGCCUAUUUUCGAGAUUGAAGUGUGGAUACUAAUUUCUUUGUCGUCGCUGUAUUUUCUAAAAUUAAACAUAGAUAUUUUAUAGACUUUGCUUAGUGAAAUCGUUGUAGUCAUCUUAUUGAUAUCAGAUCGUCGCUCAUCGAAUGAUCUGGAGGUGGAACUAGUUAAUAAUUCAUAUAUUGUUGAGAAAUCUACCUCACUCUAUUUUUUAUUACGUAUUGUCGUAUUAUUGAAUGAAGAAUAAAAAAAUGGUUUUGUUGUUAGCAAA
Xenia sp. Carnegie-2017 is the source of this 1527-nucleotide long non-coding RNA. RefSeq lists it as uncharacterized. The record is from RefSeq and is a predicted model, not a curated record. NCBI's taxonomy places the organism in Eukaryota, Metazoa, Cnidaria, Anthozoa, Malacalcyonacea, Xeniidae. The transcript is spliced from 2 exons.